UACGGAGGGUGCGAGCGUUAUCCGGAAUUACUGGGUUUAAAGGGUGCGUAGGCGGCUUGUUAAGUCAGGAGUGAAAGUUUGCGGCUCAACCGUAAAAUUGCUUUUGAUACUGGCAGGCUGGAAUCAGGAUGAGGUCAGCGGAAUGUGGCAUGUAGCGGUGAAAUGCAUAGAUAUGCCAUAGAACACCAAUUGCGAAGGCAGCUGGCUAGACCUGUAUUGACGCUGAGGCACGAAAGCGUGGGGAGCGAACAGG
This 253-nucleotide ribosomal RNA is filed under the name uncultured bacterium. Its description in RNAcentral is "partial 16S ribosomal RNA". It matches the Rfam family "Bacterial small subunit ribosomal RNA", at positions 524 to 776 of the family's 1533-position model. The record is from RNAcentral.